UAGCGUUAUUGAACGCCCACACUUAUCGGUUGUUGGAAGAAGUCGAGAGAUCUUCAAGGAAUGGGUCUGUAGCUCAGCUGGUUAGAGCACUGUGUUGAUAACGCAGGGGUCGUUGGUUCGAGCCCAACUAGACCCACCAUUUUGAAGAUGUUUUGGCGAGGAGUUCCGAUGCGGAAUUUACCCGGGGGAUUAGCUCAGCUGGGAGAGCACCUGCUUUGCAAGCAGGGGGUCGUCGGUUCGAUCCCGUCAUCCUCCACCAGUCUGGACGUG
Molecule: unclassified non-coding RNA, 270 nt
Filed under: uncultured Comamonadaceae bacterium
Lineage: Bacteria; Pseudomonadati; Pseudomonadota; Betaproteobacteria; Burkholderiales; Comamonadaceae
Description: partial 16S-23S ribosomal RNA intergenic spacer
Rfam family: tRNA (bases 63-136)
Source: RNAcentral